RNAcentral lists this ribosomal RNA (272 nucleotides) under uncultured Staphylococcus sp. RNAcentral's name for it is "partial 16S ribosomal RNA". It matches the Rfam family "Bacterial small subunit ribosomal RNA", at positions 89 to 355 of the family's 1533-position model. The record is from RNAcentral. Lineage: Bacteria; Bacillati; Bacillota; Bacilli; Caryophanales; Staphylococcaceae.
ACGUUAGCGGCGGACGGGUGAGUAACACGUGGGUAACCUACCUAUAAGACUGGGAUAACUUCGGGAAACCGGAGCUAAUACCGGAUAAUAUUCGAACCGCAUGGUUCGAUAGUGAAAGAUGGUUUUGCUAUCACUUAUAGAUGGACCCGCGCCGUAUUAGCUAGUUGGUAAGGUAACGGCUUACCAAGGCGACGAUACGUAGCCGACCUGAGAGGGUGAUCGGCCACACUGGAACUGAGACACGGUCCAGACUCCUACGGGAGGCAGCAGCU